UACGUAGGGGGCAAGCGUUGUCCGGAAUCAUUGGGCGUAAAGAGCUCGUAGGCGGUUCGAUAAGUCGGACGUGAAAUCUCCACGCUCAACGUGGAGGGGCCGUUCGAUACUGUCGUGACUCGAGUCCGGUAGGGGAGUGUGGAAUUCCCGGUGUAGCGGUGAAAUGCGCAGAGAUCGGGAGGAACACCCGUAGCGAAGGCGGCACUCUGGGCCGGUACUGACGCUGAGGAGCGAAAGCGUGGGGAGCAAACAGG
Molecule: ribosomal RNA, 254 nt
Filed under: uncultured bacterium
Lineage: Bacteria
Description: partial 16S ribosomal RNA
Rfam family: Bacterial small subunit ribosomal RNA
Source: RNAcentral